This is a non-coding RNA of Pteropus alecto (black flying fox), 72 nucleotides long. The record is from Rfam. NCBI's taxonomy places the organism in Eukaryota, Metazoa, Chordata, Mammalia, Chiroptera, Pteropodidae.
GGUUCCAUAGUGUAGCGGUUAGCACAUCUGCUUUACAUGCAGAAGGUCCUGGGUUCGCUCCCAGUGGAGCCA